This 441-nucleotide ribosomal RNA is filed under the name uncultured bacterium. RNAcentral describes it as "bacterial SSU rRNA". It matches the Rfam family "Bacterial small subunit ribosomal RNA", at positions 473 to 912 of the family's 1533-position model. The record is from RNAcentral.
CGGUACCGGAAGAAGAAGCACCGGCUAACUACGUGCCAGCAGCCGCGGUAAUACGUAGGGUGCGAGCGUUAAUCGGAAUUACUGGGCGUAAAGCGUGCGCAGGCGGUUUUGUAAGACAGAUGUGAAAUCCCCGGGCUUAACCUGGGAACUGCAUUUGUAACUGCAAGGCUAGAGUACGGCAGAGGGGGGUAGAAUUCCACGUGUAGCAGUGAAAUGCGUAGAUAUGUGGAGGAAUACCGAUGGCGAAGGCAGCCCCCUGGGUCGAUACUGACGCUCAUGCACGAAAGCGUGGGGAGCAAACAGGAUUAGAUACCCUGGUAGUCCACGCCCUAAACGAUGUCAACUAGGUGUUGGGGGAGGAGACUUCCUUAGUACCGCAGCUAACGCGUGAAGUUGACCGCCUGGGGAGUACGGUCGCAAGAUUAAAACUCAAAGGAAUUG